CUACGGGGUGCUCCAGUGGGGAAUAUUGCACAAUGGAGGAAACUCUGAUGCAGCAACGCCGCGUGGAGGAUGACACUUUUCGGAGCGUAAACUCCUUUUAUAUAUGAAGAAGAUGACGGUACUAUAUGAAUAAGCGCCGGCUAACUCCGUGCCAGCAGCCGCGGUAAUACGGAGGGCGCAAGCGUUACUCGGAAUCACUGGGCGUAAAGAGCGUGUAGGCGGAUUAAAAAGUCAGAAGUGAAAUCCUAUAGCUUAACUAUAGAACUGCUUCUGAAACUCUUAAUCUAGAAUAUGGGAGAGGUAGAUGGAAUUUGUGGUGUAGGGGUAAAAUCCGUAGAGAUCAGAAGGAAUACCGAUUGCGAAGGCGAUCUACUAGAACAUUAUUGACGCUGAGACGCGAAAGCGUGGGGAGCAAACAGGAUUAGAUACCCGCGUAGUC
RNAcentral lists this ribosomal RNA (439 nucleotides) under uncultured bacterium. RNAcentral describes it as "partial 16S ribosomal RNA". It matches the Rfam family "Bacterial small subunit ribosomal RNA", at positions 339 to 795 of the family's 1533-position model. The record is from RNAcentral.